This 461-nucleotide long non-coding RNA is filed under the name Homo sapiens (human). Its description in RNAcentral is "non-protein coding lnc-DYRK2-14:1". The record is from RNAcentral. Lineage: Eukaryota; Metazoa; Chordata; Mammalia; Primates; Hominidae.
UUGUAAUUCAUCCUGUUCAGACCUGAACUCAGCAUGUUUUCUUUAAACUUGCCCAUCCUUCUAGGUCCUUAUCCCAAUGAAUAGAACUAUAGUCCACUUACAUGUCCAUGAACCUGGAGUUACCUUAGAUAGUCCCUUUCUCUACCCAACCUCCGUGUAUAAUCAACCUACAAUCUUUUGUACCUGUUACAUACUCUUUUCUCUCAACCUGUGCUAUCAUAGGCUUCACACAAGCUCUCAUUACCUCUCACCUGAGAUAAUAUGAUGGAGAUCUAAUUUGUUGACCUGCUUCUAGUCACUCCUCUCACCCUAGCCUCAACCAUCUUCCAUUUGGCUGCCAGAGAGUUUGCUCACUGGUUUGUUUUUGUUUCACACCUGCUCAGAAUCUUUCAGUGGUUCUCAAACAUCUAAGGAGAUUCACAAUGGCCUGCCUUCUGCCUAGCUCUCCAGGCUAAUGUACC